RNAcentral lists this long non-coding RNA (24494 nucleotides) under Ananas comosus (pineapple). RNAcentral describes it as "long non-coding RNA (ACOM_LNC006982)". The record is from RNAcentral. Lineage: Eukaryota; Viridiplantae; Streptophyta; Magnoliopsida; Poales; Bromeliaceae.
AAAUAGAAAAGUGCAUUGUAAAUGCACUAUUCAAAUGUAGUAUUCCAAAUUAGCCCGAUUAUGAAGUUUGAGGAGUGGAAUGGGUAAUGGGAGCUAACCGACAUCUUUUAAAGAGUUGAAGUGAGGUUUUGGUAAGUUAAAAGAGUAAUCAAGAAGUCGGAAGAGAGAAAGUGCACUGGAAUUUCAAAAUGCAGGAUUCUGCAUAGAGUACCGGUACCAACUUGGUUCAGUACCGGUACCAGUACAAGCAGCUGCGAGGUAGCAAGGCUAGUUUGGUCAUUUUCUUUUCCCAGCUUGUUCUUAUCUCUUCUAGCUCGCCCCCAGCUGAUGUUUAUCCAUGCUUAAGUCCUGAGAACCAGGUUUGAACCUUUCUCUUUCUCUCUAGGGUUUUAUGGUAUUUUGAGCAAGAACUCAAGAUUCGAGCUUAAUUCAUUCUCCUCUUUGGUGCCUAGCUGGUUGGAAGGCUUUGGGGGCUAUGUUUUGUUGUUGAAGAGAAGGAUUUUGGAGAUAUUUCGUGGUCCUAUCUCAGCAGGAAGUUGAGCUAAAGCUUGGUGAGGCCAGUGAUUCAACUUAUCUCUAGUUGAUGUUAUAGUAGUGAAGUUGAUAUUGACUUGGGUUUUUUGUUGCGAGCUAGUUUAAGGGUUGGAAUCAGCAGCGGAAAAAGAGACGUUUUGCUGUACUCUAACUCAGUUGGAUCUGGGUUAUUGAUUGGACAAGGUAAAGUACUUACUUCCUUGUUUGGAUAUGGUAGUAAGUAUAUUAAUGUAGUUUUGAUGCUAGUUCCCAGCAGAGUCGCAGCAGGGAACGUGAACCCUGCGGCUAGGUUUUGGUGACUGUUGGAGCAGAAUUUGGAGAUGACUCUUCGACCCUAAGCUAAGGAAAAACUGGGUUGAAGUUGGAGAAGGUGAUUAACUCACCACUUGCUUUAUAUUGAUGCUAUAAUAAGUGUAUUAAUGAAAGGAGUGAUGCAGUUUUUCAUGGAUGUUCGCAGCAGGUUUGAGAAUCACCUUGAGCUGAGUUUAGAGACUCUUGCAAGCUGAUACUAGUGUGCUUCACCCUGAUUUGAAGUGGAGUGCUUAUUGGAAGGCUAAACUAGGUAUAAUUCUAUCUAGGUUAGAUGCCUAUGUGAGAUUGUUUAGUAAAGGUUGAAGUCAAGCUUUUAAUUUGAUUAGUACGGUUGUUAUGGUGUAGGUUUACAGCAGAAUUGCAGUAGGAUAUAGAUCCUUUCUAGCUGAACAUUGGGAGCUUUCGAAGACUACUUUCGGUGUACCAAUCUGAACCGAAGUGAGGAAGUAAGCUUUGCUACUUUACUAGGUCCUAGCCUAUAUUAUGGAAUUUGGGAGACUCACAUGUAGAGAUUGAAAUUGAACUCCUAGCUGAUUUUAGAAUCAUUGCUAGGUGGCUUAGAAGCUUCGGAUUACCUUCGGUUAUGGAAUCGACGAGAGUCGACAGCAAUUAGGUGGGUUUGACCUUCCCGAAAUGGGAGAAUUCCCUCUAUGUCUUCUUGACAUUAUAAAAAUGGAAUGGUGGCAUAUUCAAUGAAUAUAUGUAUAUUGAAAUGAAUUGGGCCUGUGAAAAUCUACAUAGCAUAUCGGAUCAAAGAGAACCUCUAGGUAGUAGGGGUGACUUGUGAAAUUGUUUCGCAUCUAGAGAUUACUUGCCAGUCUAGCAUGCAUUACAUGACAUUAAUGUACUUGUGUGGACAAGUUAAAGAAGGACAUCGUUUACUAAUGUAUUGAGAUAAAGCCAGGGAAAUGGUACUUAGUUAAAGGUGUAACUAAGUAAACGGUGUAUAAUGAUUUUAACUUUCAAGUAAAUCAUGCAAUUCCAUGUGGUAAACCUGAUGCCUGAACUUCGAAUAUACCAUGCAAAAUGACUUGAAUAAAGAGCAUGUGAAAAGUAUUUCAUAGAGUAUUAUGCCUAUUUAUGACAAACAGUGGUUUCCACCUUCACAUGAUAGAACUUGCUUAACUGCAUGUUAUUGUGCUUGAUCUAGUUAAGUAACUAGAAUUUGGCAUUAUGGUAUAACUUGAAUAUUAUUCUAUUGAAUGUAGUCUAGUAAAUAACUAGAGUUGGACAUGAUAGCAUAUCUGUAUAAUUCAGUAGAGUAAUUGCAUAUUACCUGUUUACUCGAAGUAGUAGAGGAUUAUAUGGAACUCUAGGAUAUGUGCCACGAGUCAUUAGACAUGCCCUUAGAAAUCACUUUCCUUGUGUAUAGGGAGUAGUGAGAGGACUCUAAGUGAGUAUGUGUGGGUAUAGCCCAUUAUGAUGUUAUGUUUAUAAUUGUUCAAGUUAUACUAGCUAUUGGUCAAAGUAUGUCAACAAGUAGUUGAGAGUGACUUAUGAUUUGGGUACUACAGUGUCGACCUUGCGUCGAGUUGAGAUUCCACGUUAGAGACAUGAUGAACUUAUGAACCCUAUGCUAUGGAUUAUGCUUGCAUGCCAAUGUCCUCGUUCGCACAUGCUUGUGGGGGUCGCGCCGCCCAAGCCAGCGCUCCGGAGUGGCUUAGCGACAGAUUGCUCGCUUAUGUACGAAUUUGAGCGUCGAAGUGGAUUGCUGUGGGUAGUUGACUUCCACAGGGCCAUUAGGCACGGUGCGGCCGAGACUUUACCAUGUGUAAGUCUCUUGUAAAAUUGGGUUAUUGUGAGUUACCUUAACCUUAGAUGGACAUAGUAGUAAGGAUACUUUAUGUUAUUGGUUAAGUAUAUCUAGUAAUAAACAUACUAAAGGGUUGAUAUCUCUGUUGAUUAGUAGUAUUAUGACAGUAUUUAAAUAUAUACACUCUUUUUAGUUGAGGAAAUAGCUACAUGAUGUCAUUGGCUAGUAGACAUGAUGAUAUUCUGCAUAUAGCAUGACAUAUUAGUGAAUUAAAUUGAUACCAGCAUGACUAAUAGAACUCAUUUGUAUGAACUAGUAUGUAAGACAUGUUAUAAGACAUAACUUGUGGAGGCAUAGUAUAAUUAAAGUAUUUCUUUUAUUGUUACAGUUACUUUGCUUACUCAUUGCUAUAUACUUAUGCCUUAGUUGACCUAGUGGUGUACUUCGCCACUCUCGGCGGGUUACCCACUGGGAACUAUUGUUUAAUAGUUCUCACACCCUCUUUGUUGUUGUUUUUACAGAGUCUUCCACGGCGGGAAAGGCUAGGGAUUUCUGGCGAGGGGUCAAUGUUUAAUAGAGCCUUCUUGAUGUUAAAUAGAUGAACCUCUACUGAUUUAUUUUGAUUUAGCUUAGUGUUGUAUUCUAGAUUUAUGUAGAAUGUACUUGUUUAAGUUGUAAUAAGGUUUUGUGUUGUAUAAGUUUACUAUACUUUUUAAGUUGUGCUCUGACUACCUGGUUAGAAUCGAAUGUUUUUACUAUGUGGAUUGUAGACUCCUGGUGUAUACUAGAGGUUGUAGUUUACACGGUGGGUCUGUGCACGUGACUGGUGAGCUUCUGCUAAAGUCCACGGCGUGACAGAUUAUAGUGGUAUCAGAGCCUAGGGUUGAGUCUUAGUAGACCUAGUAAACCUUAGGCCGGUUGGGUGAUCAGGAUUAGGAACGUGAGAAACGGGGUCUUUGUGACUAUUUUGGGCGAAAGUAUUGUGAUGGGUCAUACUUAUAACUCCAAAAGUGUUGGAGUUGGAUUGAAGUGGAUAACCUUUAUGUCCUUGUAAGAUCACGUUGGCUGCCGACAACGUGAUAUCGGGGAAUAGUGGGAGGUCACUUCAUUACUUUCACAUGAUUGGGGGUUUCGUGUCUAUGUGCGGGGCUAUGAUAGCAUAGGUUGUUUAACCUGUGCUUAUUUUGUUUGUUGCAGCUUGUGAUGUCCAAGAUACACUCUACAAUGGUCGAGGCGACCGAGCCGGAGAAGUUUGUACUUUCCCAACCUGGCGAGGUUCAGGAAUUGGAGGAGCAGUGGUUAUUUUAGUUGGAGUAGUGGAGCGACAGUCGAAUGUGGCGCUACUUCAAGCAGAGGCUUUGCACCGACAAGAUGAGGGAAUCAAGCGGUUGAAGAAUCUAUUGAUUCAGCGAAUGGCUGAUCUCAAGAAAUUUCAUGAGAUUUCAGAUCGCGCCAUGACUAUGAGAAAAGUUGUGGAACUUAUUAAGAUGGCAAAGGAGACCACCAAGAGUGAUCGGUUACAGAUUGGUGAAUCAUCAAGGAAAGUAAAGAAGAAUCAACCUUUGGGACGUGGCUCUUUUGCCGGACGAAGAACGUCGAGUCGUCGACCGUUACGGCUAAAAUGUGUGAUUUGUGAAGGCCGCACGUUCCCCAAAGUGUCCUCAGUGGAGAGAAAAGUGUUUUGGUGUAUGGGCAGGAGGGCCAUACUCGAUCAGAGUGCCCAGGAAAUAGUAUGUUAAAGAAAGUAUAUGCACUGACUUUGUCAUGAGAGGCACCCAGUGGACAUUUGUCUAUAGAUUGGCUGGAGCAAGAUGUGGUGACGGGAACGAUUACUAUAGGUAGCAGGUUAUGGAAAUUUGAUUAUAGUUGUGAUGAUUAUUCUAAUUGCAUCUUUGAUCGGAUGUUUGCCGAAUUGUAUUGCAUUAAUUCUUUAUCUCGAUGCAUAUAGGAUGAUUGCAUUAGCAGGAUGGUCUAUUUGACACUUUGCUUGAUAAAAGAGUUUUGGAGUGAGCCAACAAAUUGAUUGGCCUCACUAGUGAUAGAAUAGUUUUGACUUAAAAUCUAAUUUGGAGGCACCUUGUAUCGGGGAUUGUGCGAGCUGAAUCGAUUCGUCUUAAGAUUUGAGCAUGAAAUAAUGCAUUUUGAGGUUUAAUCUCGCUAAUUGCGAAGAUUGUUAUUUUACCUAAAUCAGGUAUGUAUUGAAGAGUUGGAGCCUAAUUGGCUGAUAACUUAGGGUGAGUGAGAAUCCUCAAAAUGAAGGAUAUCUUUUAAGAAGUUGUUGUGGUACUCCCGAUCGAGUCACAAAUUGUGCGCUCGAUUAGUAGGAAGGUUUUUAGAUGUUUAUUGUUUUGCUUCGUGGUGAAGCAAUCUCACUGGUUGUGAGGCUGAAUAGGUUGUUCGACUAUGUGUCAACUAUCGUGAUGUCAAUUGAAACACGAUUCAGUAUUUGGAUGGUAUUGAGAUUUAUUGAUCUUUUUGAUCAACCUUGAGGACUAGACGCACUCAAUUGGUGGAGUUACCAUUUAAUGAUUACUAAUUGAUAUUAGAGUUUGAGUUUAUGCCUUGAACGGGAUGUGAGAUUGGGCUGAGGACAUCAUGAGACUAUUGUGAUGCCAUCUAAGUUGGUACUCCACCCGUGUUAGAGACUUGCUGAUUGAUGAUUCCAAGACGGCUAGAUGGAUUUGGGACAUUGAUAGGGAUGACAACUGUGAGAAAUAUUAUAACAUUCUUUGACAUAGAAUGUUAAGAGUUUACUUAGCAGAUUCGGCAAAGUAUGUAAGGGAUGAUCGAGCAAGCAGCUGAUGGGAUGGAGCUAAAACUCUCCUACUUUGAUUGAGUAUUUGGAAUAUUUGAGAAAGAAACUACCAAGAUACCUAUUUCUUUCUCCUUCUCUUCUGGUUCAUGUAAUAUGGCAUUAAGUUCUUUGGAACGAGUCGCAUAAGAUAAGUUUUGAGUUUGAUAUAUGAUUGGAAACCAUAUGGAGAUGAACUCUAUAUGUAUUGAAGGUGAAUAUUGAUACCUUAGUUGCAAUUUAGAGUAGGAAGCUUUGCUUGAACCCUUCCUGGAUUAUAGAAGUAUAUGUACGUAAUAACAAUAGAGAGUUACUAAUAAGUAUAAGUGGAUUCCCUCUCUAUUGUUGAAUGGGACAAAGUGGCGACAGCUACUAGGAACAUAACAUUAUAAAGAAGGUAUUGAGGAUGAAUAUAUCCAAUUGGUUCUACUAGAAGCAUCAAUUGGUUAAUGCUAAGAAUUAUUUCACCAGAGGUGAACCAUCAGUUUAAGUGUGUGAGAGAGUCAGAAGAAAUAAAAUUGGAUAUAAAUGAGGAAAAUUUCUCGUUGAAAAGAUGAAUAUGAUUUAUCAUAUUAUUGAUACUAAAAGCAUAGAAGCUACAAAAUGGUAUUAGUGGGAAUUGAGAAGUUUUGAAUAAUUGACACUUAGCAACAUCUAUUGAUGUGAAUUUGGGCCUACUGCCUGGUGGUGGAAUGAGAUAUGAUGCUAAAGUAUUGUGAUACAAUACUAAAUGCUAGAUCAGGUAAAUACCCCAAUGAACUAAUGGGGUGGACGAUUAGUUCCAUUUAGUCUUGGAAGGAGUAUUGCCAGAGAUAAUUGGUUCGCUACCAAAUGAAAUUUGAAUAGUAGAAUGUCGGGUUUAAAAGAGAGAUGAAAUUUUUUUUUUCCAUAUCUAAUCUUGGAAUAGAAUUGCAUCAAUAGUGCAAUUUCUUGAAGAUUUUGGCUCUUGAGAGCAAGCUGACGAUUGAAAUUGCGUCGUUUUCCGUUAAGACAUGAUAAUUCUUCAGAACUCGAGAGGUGGACUAAGGGUAAUCAUUGGAUUUGAAUUUUUCUUGUUAAAGGAAUGAUCUAACCUCAUUCAUAUGAACAUGACAAGAGAAGUUGAGUGUUGGCCUCAAAUCAUUACGAAAAACAAGAAUGGAACUUCAUCCAUCGUGGGUAAAAGAAGAACGUUUUAGGAGCGGAUAAAGUGUAAUGUACUGAAUUUUCAGAAUUGUGGAUGUUCCCAUAAGAAAAUGCUUCAUACGAUUUGAUUGGUUCAAACUCUUUGGGAAUGAAUUGAAGUGUUAUUAAAUACAUCCCAUAUUCAUUUCGAAUGAUUUCGAGGUGUAAAUUGGAUUCUAGUUUCGCGGACGAAACUUCUUUUUAGGAGGGAUGAAUGUAAUACACUGAACUUUGGCGAAUUGCGAAGUUCGAGCGAUGGAACAGUAAUUGAAACUAUUCUACAACUUGUGAAGGAUUGUUGAGAGAUUUCCGCAAGUUACUGGAGCAAGCAAGUAGCUGGAAAUGGAAAAGUGCAUUGUAAAUGCACUAUUCAAAUGUAGUAUUCCAAAUUAGCCCGAUUAUGAAGUUUGAGGAGUGGAAUGGGUAAUGGGAGCUAACCUGCAUUUUUUAAAGAGUUGUAGUGAGGUUUUUGGUAAGUUAAAAGAGUAAUCAAGAAGUCGGAAUAGAGAAAGUGCAUUGAAAUUUCGAAAUGCAGGAUUCUGCAUAGAGUACUGGUACUGUAACGUAUCGAAACCUUGAUAGCGAUUAUCGAACUUUAGCCAAAUUGGUUAAAGUACCAAGAGAAAUGAAUAGACAAACUCCAGUUGACAUUCCAACAAUGUUGGAAGGGUCAAAGUCGAGUCCCGGGAGUGUUAAGCAAGUUUUAGCAUUGCUCGGCACGAUUUAAAAAUGAACAAUACGAAAGAAAUAGUUGGGCAAGUUGCAUUUAGCAUCCCAACAAUGUUGGAAGGGCUAAAAAUGGGUUUAAGAGGUGUUAGAAAGGUUUUAGCAUCGAUUGGCACAAAAUAGAAUCGAAAACGGCGCAAAACCAGCAUUCUGGGCAAAGUGUACCGGUACAACCAUCGAGUUGUCACCGGUACAGCCCUGUAGACCGAGAAGAGUUUGCUCUCGGGUUUGAUUUUUCACGGAAAUGUACCGGUACACCCCUGGUGUGUACCGGUAUACUUUUGUAAAAAUCGAGAACCUUGCUCUCGGGUCGCCUCUGCGCAGAAAGUGUACGGGUAUAAAAUCCCGUGUACCGGUACACUUUGGUCUGGCAGCAAGGAAUUGAUCUGUUGCAAAUGCAAAUGUUUGGGGGGGCCUAGUUGUAAUUGUUGCACACUAUAAUAAACCCAACACUCCUCUCCUUCACAGCAAACACCCCUCCACUCUCUCCCUCUUAUUUCUCUCUUUCUCUCUUUAGAGAUCUUACCCUAGAGCUUGGAGGAAAAGGAAAAGAAGGCUUGGAGGAGAUUUUUGGAGGCUUUGGUAGUGUAGAAGCUCUCCAUCAAGGUGGACUUAGGGAUAGCUUUUGGCUAAGGUGAGUUUUAGUGCAAAAGCUCUCCAUCAAGGUGGACUUGGGGAUAGCUUUUGGCUAAGGUGAGUUUUAGUGCAAAAGCUUAUCUAGGGUUUGGAUUUCCACUAUGGAACUUAAGGUUUUGGGGCUUCUCUUAUGUUUAGAAGCAUUGUGAGCCUUGAACACCAUGAAAACCAUGGCUUUCUCAAGGUGCUCCCAUGGUGAACAUCUAAGGUUUAAUGUAGAUGCCCUAGGAAUGGUCCAAAUGGCUUGAAAAUAGUAUUAGAGAGCUUCCUAGGUGAUUCUAAGCUAGUAUUUGCUUAGAGAUGAGAUCAAUCUAGGAGAAAUCCCAUUAUGGCAUUCUUAGGGCAUAGAUUUUGGGAUUUUUGCCUUCGGUUGUUUUCGAGAUAAAUUGACCUUUUGAAAAUCUAAUUAGGUGUGUUUCCGACGCGUGGGACAAUUCCGUUUGACGUUACGAAAAGGCCUAGAUAAAGUUAUUGAGAAAAAGCCUAAUUUGGCUUCGUUUUGCCGCAGGCGAAAAAGUAGGGUUUCAAAAAUUUCAAGAAAUUCACCGUAGCACCUUUGCAACCAUACAAGGUGAGUGGUGCAUACCGAAGACCUCGAAAUAUUUUUUAUGUCUAAAGUGUCAUAUUUGAGCAUUUGUAUGUAUUGAGCAUAUAGCAUAGUAGGGUUAUUGUGAGCUUCUUAUUGCAUAUUGUGAGUUCAAAUGCAUGUGAAAUACAAGUGAGAAUCUAUAAACCCUAUGUAUGCAUGAAAAAAUGACAAGAACUUAGUGGAUUAGAGAACAAGUGUGACAUGUUGAUAUAAAGGUAGUGAGUGACAUUGAAGAGCCAAGAACACUAGAGUUGAACACCUAGAAAACAAGUGUGACAUGAGUAAAUGAGUACCAAGAACAAAGUAGUGUGUAUGACACUAGUGUAAGUCAAAGAAUGCAAGUGAAAAGAGAAAGUAAUAUUGUGACAUUAUGACAUAGCAACCUUAGAGUUAAGGGUCAUAUGUACAUUGUUUCCUUAUAGUUAAGGAAUGGAUUGAACUUGACAUCCUUAUAGUUAAGGAUUGGAUUAUACUCACCUAUAAGUCCUUGCUCGAGGGUGGUAGCUCCCCCUCGGGCGAUGUGCUCCGGAGUUGUCAUCAUUGGGUCGUAGUAGUCUCCCUAGAGGACGGUCCCGUCGGGCAUAGUAGUCUCUCCGAUACUUGGGAUUUGAGUUGGUGAGUCUAUUGAGAGCGAAACCUACGGGCUGGCCAAGAGAUUGAGUAAUGAAACUAUGAUCUUGCAUUCAUCAUGGGUAUUUUAUCGAGCAUCGCAUUACUUAUUGUUCAGGCAUAUUAGCUGCAUUUGUUUAGUUGGUUACUAUCUAUCUAUUCUUCUAUUGUGCCUGAUCAGACCUAGUGGGAAAGUCGGCGUGGUUGGUUGCCGAACCCACUGAAAACUUUGUUGUAGUUCUCACACCCCAUUUUUCACAGAGCUGGGACCGAGUGUAAGGACUGAGAUUUUUGCAGUGUAGCUAAACUCUCAGUUGACGAUGUUUUUGUGUGUAAUUUAAUUACAAAAGCACUCGUCAAGUUUCGGGCAAAAACGAGUUAAAACGGAAAUUCUACGAGAUUUCCAAGUUUCACUUAAAGUGAAUACUAACUCGAUUUUCCGGAGAAGUCACAAUGGGAAGUUGGCUUCUGGCUCGUAUCGGACUCCGUUCCUAGCAGUCCAAUAGCUCGUUUCGACCGGUUCAGCUGUUCUGGAACUAAUGGCGCUGACGGAUUUUGAGUUUGACCCACGGAUUUUGAGAAAAUCCAAAAAUACAUGUUUUAUAUGUAUUUAUGUGUUAUUCCUUCUAUUGGAAUGAAAGAUUGGAUUUUGUCGUGAAUCCGUGGUCGAUCGAGGUGAAACGAAUUCGUAGCUUUGUUGUCUCCGUCGUGCUGAUCGCAUUGGUGCAAUCCGUUCGCAAAUCUGACGGACGAAUCUGCGGAGAUUACGCGUUGAUCGAGGAGAGGUCGGUAAUGGCAAAACGGUAAUUUCGCAAAAGUCGCGACAUUUUAUGUACCGUUUCGCGUGAGAUCGCACGUGGAGGGGUAUGCGCGCGUUUUACUCAUGCUGUGGGGGACCCAGUUUGAAAUUGUGAGUUUAGGUGGACUUAUUUGCAAAUCUGCAAAUGGUAUAUAUUUGCACUCUAGGGUUUGCUCAUUGGAAACCCUAAACCUAGCCCGAGCUAACCCCCCCAGCCGCCUCCUUCUCUCUCCCCUGCCCCUGCCGCACGCCCCCGGCCGCCGCCGACUGAACCCCGGCCGGCCAGCCACCGCGGCAGCCACCUUUCUUCCUCCCUCUCCAUCUCUCUCUCCAUCUAUCCCUCUCUUUCUCUCGGGUUGGAGCCAGGCCGAGGCUGCAGUUGCCUCCCGGCCCUUCACCGGCGUCGCCCCGUGCUCCGGCGAGCCUCCCCGUCGACCGCCGCCGCCUCCUCGCGUCGUUGCUGCUAGCUGCAGCUGCCAGACCGAGCUCGGGCCGAGGCCAACGUGUGACAUCUCCAGCGCGCCGCCGCCGCCUGAGCCCGCUCCCUCCACCGUCCCCGUACCCUCGGCGACCCUCCUCGCCGGUCGCCGCCGCGCCAGCGAGCCGCCGUCGCCGCCUCGGCCAGCCUGUGGCAGCCCAGGUCUGCUCGGGCCGAGCAGACCUUGGGGCUUCUUCCUCGCGCCGCCACCGCUCGGAGCCAUCCGUGCCGCCUCCUGCCGACCUCGGGCGACCCUCCUCCGCCGUCCCAAAUCGGCCCCGGCCGUCGCCGUGGCCGCCAUUGCCCGUGGAACCCGUGCCCUAGCCGUGCAUGCUCGGUUUGUUCCACAGCUGCCGCCGCCGCUUCCAGUCGCCAACUGAGGUGAGCACCUCACUCUUCACCUCCCCCGCACCCGUUCCUGGCCGCCGCGCGCGCCGCCGUGCCGCCGAAGGCCGGCCGGAGCAAGCUUGCUCCGGCCAAGCCCGAAAUAGGGCUUAGUUAGGUGGUUUACUGUUUCGAGCUUCCUGGGGCUUCCCGAUCUCUACGGAAGGGAGCACGAUGAUCCUGGCAAGUUGCUGAUCAUCGUGCUCACCCUGGUUUCUGUCGGGAAGGCCCUGUUUCGCUGUUUCGGUGAUGUCGCUUCGUUUCAGCCUUUUUGGCUGUGGUUCUGUGUUUGUGCGUGUUUUGCCGGCGAUCCGAGGCUGUUCCGAUGCCUCCGGAGGUGAGCAUGGUGACUGCUGGUCAGUGCUGAUCACGGUGCUCACCUUAUUUUGGAUCAACAGUGUCCGGUUAGUCCUGUUCGGUGCGUUUUUCCGUGGCUGCGCGCUGUUCGCCGAACCUUCGGGUUGCUCCCGCGCUUCCCACAGCUAGCCGUUGUGCUCCGGAUCGUGAGCAUGGCCUCCGGUACGUUGAGACCUAUCAGUACGUGUCUCUGUGGACCUUGGGAGUCCUCGGUUUACGUGAACGAGCCACUUGAUCGCUCAAUUUACAUGAAAUAAUAGGAUUUUAUGUAAAUUGAGGGUCUUUUAUGCAUUUGUGCUCAUUGUGGCUACUAUGGGCAGUGCACGUGAGUGUGUUUGACCUUUGGACUGAUUGUCCAUGAUCCGUUAGCUUUUGCAGAAAUCGAAGAGUCAAUUUCGAUGCGUUUUGCGGCGAAAUUCGCCGAAAGAACGCGGUUUCGGUUCGGAUUUCUUCCGACGUCGUUUGGUUGCUCUGUGAGUAGUCGCUAAGCCUUGUUGGCUGGUCACCAUCAUCACAUUGUGGGUUCAGUGAUGAUGGAUGAGUGAUGGUGGGUUCCGGUGUCGAAAUAGACACUUUCGGGAACCCGGAUUCGUACAAUUAUUCGGCGAUAAUUGUGUAGUGAUGUUAUCUUGUGUUUGCUGCCAAAACAUCCAAAUCGGAGUGUUCUGGAGCAGCAGGUGACUCGUGACACGAGUCGGUGAGUUUCGGGACACUUAGUGGGUCCCGACGGCGUCCCGGUGUGGUUUUCGGGACUUCCGGUGAGUUACGAUGAUCGGUUUUGGGAAACCGAUACGGGGAUCUAUGUGGGGGUUUGUGAGAUAGUGUACUUCAGGUGAGUGGGUUGGUUACUGACCCGUUGGAUCUUCGUAGGUCCGGUCGACUUGUGCGUACCCAGUGUCCCGACGCGACAGUGACAGGUGGGUGCUUCGAGCUGGUAGUCGGUGAGAUCGUUUCACCCUUCCUCUGUUCUUUCAUAUCAGUAUCGUAGUCUCUACAUGUCAGUUGAUUGUUUAUCGCUUGUUUAUCGUAUUCCGUUGAUUGUAUUUGUAUAGUUGUGGAUAGACAUGUGCAGCAGGCUUGCACUCGUAUAUUGCAUUUCUGUGGACCUUGGGUCCAGGCAACACAUCGACUCUCUUGUCAUGUGUUUUGAUCUGGUUGAUCGUGGAUCGGCGUUGUACGCCCUUGCACCUGGCUUCGGCCAUGGCACCGGUCUCUUUUUGCCGGUUUUCGUUUGAGCAUAUCAGCAUGAUUUAGUCACAGCACUGUGUAUUCUAGACACCAGGUUGGUUUGGCCACCAACAAGAGGUGUACGUAUCCGGAUAGGUCGUCGGUGACGCAUGAAUAAGCUCGCAAUGUCUGCUCUGUGACAGGCAACGCUUGAGGUCUGCGGACCAAUAUAGCAGUAUCAGAUUGGGUUUGGUUUUGGACUAUUCACCUUUGAGGCAUCUGNNNNNNNNNNNNNNNNNNNNNNNNNNNNNNNNNNNNNNNNNNNNNNNNNNNNNNNNNNNNNNNNNNNNNNNNNNNNNNNNNNNNNNNNUGGGCGUGGGGGGAGGGGUAGGGGGAGCUCGGGCAGGACGGGGCCUGAGCCUGGGUAGAAGGACAGGGGCCUGAGCGUGGGGGAGGGGUGGGAGGGGCGCACUUGAGUAGGAGGGGCAUCGGAGCACACGGAGUUUGGAGGGGGGAGGGCACCUUAGCCAGUAAAGGAAGAGCACACACGACACGGGAGCGGGAGGAGCACAGCAGCUGGUAGAGGAAAAGCAGUUGCUGGGGAGGAGGAGUAGCUACCGAAGAGGGAUGGAAUUUCUUGCGAGGAGAGGGUGGGGGAGGAAGGAGAUCUAUUUUUUGCGGGAAAAUAGGGCUUUUUGGGGAGAGUUAGGGGGAAAAUGGAAAAAUUAGAAUAUUUCUUUUUCUUUCCUGGAUAUAGAGGCGGUUUCGUAAAAACGCCUCUAAUAUGCUUAUAACAUGUACCUUAGAGGCAGUCACAACAACUGCCUCUUGACAAUCGCCUCUACGAGCGCUUUUACUUGUAGUGGUAAUUAAUAGGGUUCAUGAUGAUUACGCCAUUAGUUGACAAUGCCACUAUAGGCAACAACUGGAUAUGGCCAACAACAUUUAUUGUGAGAUAACAGCACAGGAGAUGGAAAAAUAAGAAGGAAGAUAUAAAGAGCAAUAGAAGGAAGAAGAGUCCUUUAAUCACUAAAAUCAUGGUAGUGAAUCCACCCAUAAUGGGAGAAAAAGCGAGCGCCCCCGUGAUAAGAGAGUUAGGUGGAUUAGAGUGAGAGUAGAGAAGAAAGAGAGAGCAUGCGCGCUCGAGAGAGAAAGAGAUGGAGAAAGAGCAAAAUCGUUGCAAGAGAAAGAGAGAGAGAUAGAGAGAGAGAGAGCAGAGCGAGAGAGGAAGAAAGAGACAUGUUAGAAGAAGAGAAGAAUCGAAGAGCAAAAGGCUUGCUAUGUGGACGCAACAGAAAACUCCCUAGAUUAAAACACAAACACGCUAAACGUGCAUUAAGCGGGAGCGCGGGGUCGCCCGCACAAAAAAAUGACGGGCACGCCGUUCUCUCUUCGUCUCCCCACAAACACAAGACAUACAAUAUAUAUAUAAUAUACAAACAAUCACAAAUAACAAAAAAAAAACAAAAAAAAAAACCAAAAAAAAAAGACGUUCUCUCCCCUCCUCUCUCUCUUUCUCUCCCCACCGCCCUCUUUGUCCCCCACGUGCACCCGGGGAGGAGGGGGGACCCGCGUCCGGCGCCCGCGUCCGCGCCCACCCGUGUUGGGGGGGCGGGGACCGCGGCCGACACCCGCGCCAGAGAGAGAGAGGGAGUGGGGAGAGGGGGAGAGGGGGAGAAAGAGAGAGAGAGAGAGAGGCGAGAGGGGGGGGUGCGCGUGACCCGCCCCCGGCGCGCACGCGCGCGAGAGAGAGAGAGGGAGCCGGGGAAGGGGUGGGGAAAGAGAGAGAGAGAGAGCCGGGGAAAAAAAAAAAGGGUCCCACUGAAGCCUCCCACCAAACGUGGGGAGGCUUCGGGAGGAACCCACGAUUUAAUGUAUGUACAGAUUAUGUAGACGACUUCCAUACAUUGAAUUUUCCUAACAAUAACCGCUUUACAAAAUUGUAAGUCCUCAUAAACAUCCUUGCCUUAUAAAACAAUCUUAAAACAAGCAACAUACCUACAGUAGGAUGAGAAAUUAAGGAGCUCCAUACAUGUUCAAAGUCACAACAUGAUGGUAUCUAUCAAGGCUUGAAAAUGGAGUAAGACACCAAUUCUUAUAACUUUCUUUUUAAUGCUUCAAGCCAGUGUGUGAUGAAAUUUAGUAAACAUUUUAAUACUAUUUUUUUGCCCUUUUUUGUCAUUCCUGUAGGGGUGAACCUAAUCCUAAAUAUUUCAUUCCAAUAUAUCAGUCUCUGAUCUGACCUAAUAUUGUACAAAAAUAUUCCUGAAUAGCAUUGUUUCUCUACAAACAAAUAUGCAAAAAAAUCAUGUGCACGAAAUAAUAUUAUAAUCCAAUGACUUUGAUGUAUUCUGCCAAGGAUUAGUGGUAAGAUCACUUAGUGCACAGAAUUUUUCUAUGUAUAGGAUUACACCCAGUGUGCAUUUAUUCUUCGUGUAAGAUCAGUUAAUACACAGAUGUAUGGAAUUACACCCAAUGCGCAUCCAUUCUUUGGUUAUUUGCUGUAAAAGUCAGUGCCAUUGCUGUAAAAAUCAGUGCCAAUUCACGCAACAAAAUUAACAAUGAGAGUGGAAAAUGUGCUCAAAAAUGAUAUUUUGAGAAAUUAUGUACCAAAGAUUAGUCAUUAAUGAAACCCUGAGUAGCAAACUGCCAUUUAUUAAAAAGUUCAGAAGCUCUCUUUACAUUUAAUCAUAUCCUAUUCCUUUACCUGAAUGAGAAAUCAGAUGGAAAAAUGUAGAUCAAAGGAGUAACGAAUUUUGACGAAAUUUUCAAAUCAACAAGUGGCUUUAUUGAAGGGUAUCAAGCUUCUUCCUAGAAAAUUCCCGAAAUCAACUAUCCUAAAUACAAGCAACAGAAACCACACACCGGAGUGAAUACAAAUAGUUUUUACAUCCAAAUAAGAUAAAACAAAGAGCUAGAGAAAUGCCACAAAUGGAACCAAAUGAUCGUCAUCGUCGUACUCAUCCUUCCACGGGUGCCUCUUGUGCCUGGAAGAAGUGAUCUUGACUGUAAAAAUAAGAACCAAGUCAAAUAGUGUGUAGUAGUUUCAAUAUAUAGAAAUGUAGUAUUAAAUAGAGAAUCCGACCUACUAUAAUAAGGGAAACAAUAAAUCUUGUUAUUCUGUACUUACAUCAAGUAUAGCGGACUAAACGGGGUUUAGAUAACGAUUAAAAUCUUACGGAUAGGUUAAGUACUUUGCUCUAGUUGUCAUAGGCUAACAUAUGAACAAAAUUAACCUGAAUUACAUGCUAGUUGCUUAGUUUCCCGUUCAUAAUUACGUACACCAUACUAGAUCGAUCUUCUAUUUAAUGACAGGCAUGUCUUUAUCAAUCAACCAUUGGCUGACCAUUUAUCAUUUAUCAAGCUUGAUUACCAUCUAAGAACUCGUAUUGUUGUCUAUCCUUUUUCUCCUUUUUCACUUAUUCGUUUUGUACAGGCGUGAAUGCAUGCGUAACACGAGUGCAUUUGUAGCGUGCAUCCGUGCAUCCAUGCCUGUUGGUGAUGGGAAAGAUUGGAUCUUCUCUUAUUAUAUAGUCUUUCUCAUGAAAGAAGCAAUUGUUGAUACAUGGUUGCAGGCUAGUAGCUUAUUGUGAGCUGUACACGUAAAAUUUUGAGUUGGGUCGACCUCAAAAUCUGAAUGGUUUUUCAGGCCUAGCCUAAGCCCAACCAAAACUACAUCUAUUACGAAACAAACAAUAUCCUAAAAUUAUAUACAGACACUUGUUUCUCUUAAAGGUUUCUACAUAAUAAAAGAUGAUUAAUUCGAAAAAUAUUCCUCAUGUGGAGGCUAUACAUUUAUGCCACAAGCUUUGCCUAUCUCCCCCCUCAUUCACUACUGACUGUAAUCGUCCCUAGCCCUCCUUCCUUGUGGUAAUCUCUCCCGUUCGAUGGAGAAUUGGGUUUCCAGUAAAUUAGAUAUUCAGACAAGCUGAUUCGAGUCGAUUUUAUGUAAUUAGGAUUUUUGGGUUUUAAUCCAGUUCCAAUGUGACUCGGUUUGAGUUAGGUCAGAGUUUGGAUAUUUCAAUUGAAAUUGGAAAAAUAUUAGAUCUGUUUAAAUUAAAUUUAAUUCUCUAUAAGAUAAACUCUAGUGAAGUUAGGAAUUGUGAUUUUUCUUCUAGAGCUAUAGAUUCUAGUGAAGUUAUUCUAUGACAAACCCUAGAAUUCUCACUGUAUUCAUGAUGGUCAUUUCGAUUAAUGAAGUUUGGUGUUUUAGAUUUUCCUUACAGCAUCUUCUACUCUUCUCUUUGAAGGAAAGGCAUAGCCUAAUAUUCUCUAUGGCGCAGAGGGUAUUCCUCUCCUCUUUCUCUUUACUAGUCUUUUUCAACUAUUUUUGAGUGUUUUGUGCUUCGAACUUCGCAUAAAAUUAAGAUGCCUAUAUUUUUAAUGGUUACAUUUGUUUAUGUGAACUUUGUCAUAUCUCCUCAAGCAUACCUAAUGCAAAACUUUAUCAAUCGCCGAGUUGAAAUAAAAAAUUCUAGAUAGAUGCUUUGUUUGGUAUCAAUUAUAUCCUUACACUUUCAAAGGCAAAUUUCAUAUAUAUGCAGAUGACUUUCAUAUUCUUGUUUUAGGCACUUAGCUUGCAAAUUCCACUUUUAAAAAUACCAAAGAAGUAAAUUUAAUUUUUGUUAUCUUGUUACAAAAUACUUUCAUAGAUGCAUAGAUUGCAAGUAAUCUGCCACCAUCCACAAACAUUCAGAGAUAGAUGGACAAUUAAGUGAAUUAAAUUCGUAUAAAAUUCUUUAAUUAAUUUGCACCCACGUUUAACCUAGCUAGUGGAUCCGAGUGCAGAUACUGAUCCUAUUUCAAGCCAAAUACAUGAGUAUAAAAUAUCAAGCAAAUUAAAAAAAAGAAAAAAGCUACCACAAGGGAGCAGUUUUACCGUACCGUAUUUUUCGCGUAAGUUGACAUAUGCCUGUUCCAGCCAUUGCAAAAUUCACACUAGAGAGGUUCCAAUUUUUCUGCAACACCAUAAAUAAUCCCCCAAACAAAUCAAUCAGAAGCAAUGCAAAAUACAGAAUCCUCUACUUACCAUAUAUACAAGAUACAUGAAAGGAUUUAGAACUUAGCUGCUUUAGCCAAGAAAUUAAGGUUCCGUGCGGUAACUUGAGAAAAUAUUUCAAUGUUCAAUUAGUUUUUACAUGGAAACUUCAGAAAAUAUUUCAAUUUUCAAUUAGUUUCUAAGAUGAAAAUUAAUCAAUCAAAUGAUGAAAAGUUGACAAUCACUGGAUAACAUGAUCGACAAGACCAAACUGAGACUUCCGAUGCCAGUGAACAAAACUGUCAUAAUACCUUCAUGCAUUUAAUAAAUAUAAAGACACAAAUUUUGGCGGAAAAUAUAAAGACACAAAUUUGAUGAAAUGGAUGACCAAUUUGGGAGAAAUUUAAUUUCCCUAAUUUGUAAACUUUGUUUGUUGAAUAUAAAACGGUGUUUAUAUCAUGUCUGGGCUCGAGACUUUUCGUAGGCCCGUGAUGUGGACUUUAAUUAAAUGGGAGGAAAUUAAUUUUUGCUAAGAGCCUGGCAUGAUAUCAAAUUCAGGAUCUUCUGCUCUGAUACCAUAUGAAACAAAUAUUAUACUCUAAAAACUUAAGCUAUUAGAAAACGGUGUUUAUAUAUUUUUAUAUUUAACAUUGUUUGCCACAAAUCCAAAUAAUUUCAUGAACAAUUGAACAUUUAGUGACAUUAGCCAAAAAAAAAGGAUAAGUCUUUAAGUUUAUCCAUUGCAAGCAUCAUGCAUAUAUGCAUUUGUGUAAAUUUUAACACAGUUUAAGACAUUUUCGGGGUUCGCUUCAUCCACUAAAUUUUAAUUCUUAAAUUAUUAAUCUUUUGUACUGCUAUUAGAAAAUUCUUCGAAAUUGAUAAGUAACUCCAUCGAUUGAGUGCAAAAGAUUUAAUAAAAACAUAUUUAUAUACAACGAGAAUAUAUAUACUACCGCCACGGGUCCUGCUCCAAAGGGUGUUGACGCACGGGUAUUCUGCUUUUGCAUAUCUAACGAUCUAUAGUGACUUGAAAGAGACGACGGAUAAGAGUAAAAGAGUAAAAGAGUUUACCGGGGUAAUCACCAGACCAUAGCGUGACCAAAUAAGCCCAGAGAUAGUAACAACUGCGUGCCAGGGAAAAGAAAAAGAAGAAUUAAUGUCGAUUAUUAUCAUAAGCUAGUCCAAAAAAUAAAAAAAAAUCUCUCAAUAUAUUAUAUAAGUUUCAUUGGCAGCGCAUACCAAUUUGCUGAGGAUAAGAGAUCUUCUCAGGUGGUUUUGAGAAGUCAGCAAUAUUGGCAAUGCUGAUACCCCAUUUGAAAGUUGGGGCCCAGAAGUGUACUGCAAGCAAUUUAUAUAUUUUAGGUCAGGAAAAAAAUCUGUACAGUCCAUUGGUCCUGACAAUAGUAUGACAAAUCUGUAGCAGUAUUUAUCUGAGGCCUUUCUAGAUUGGCCAACAGUUUCACAGGGUCAUGUAUUAUCAAAAAGCCCUUAUAACAACUUUCUCUAAUUUAACUUGAAAAUUGCAAAAUCUUUUGCUGUUGAACUACUAUUUAAUAUCACUAUUUAUGGACCCUUUGAUACGGCAUAACAGAACAUGACCAUACGAGGAAGCAUUUCAGAGAAUAUAUAGGAGUGUUGCUUUAUAUUUUAAAACACAAAAUACUAUGCAGGAUAAACCAAUGGAAGUAAUCAGACUUUCAUCAUAAUUGUUGCCGGUUCCAGAUUCUUAUUAGUAGCAUAUCCAAUCCAGUAUCCCCAAGCUAAGCCACAAAACUACAACAUAUUGAUCCUUGAUACGUAGGAAACUAAUAUAGAAUGAUGAUGUAGAUACCAACUCUAAAAUAUUUUCUAUUGAUUAUCAUCAAGAAAUGAAAACAACUCAAAAAUUAAUCCUAGCCAAAAAGGUAUUACAUCAAACUUCCGACGUUUACAUGUUCUCAUAGUAGACUUUGAAAAGCAAAAUACUAGCUGCUGGCUCUUUACAUCAAAGAGAUAUUCAUCAAUGGAACCUUUAUUAAGAGUUAUUUAAUUCAUUAAAUAUAUUUUGAUGAUAAUUCAUUAAAUAUAUUUCGGUGAAAAUGUUACACCAGCUAUGGUGGAAGUUGACAUAUAAGGAAGAAACUUGUGAUGCAGUGGGAAAAGUGAUACUGUGAAAUCUUAAGCAUAAAAUUUUUUAUACGUGAUAAAAGAGAGAGAGAACGAACUAGUUUUUGGCCCAGCAGGGUGGUUCCAUAGAGCUUGAAGCUUUGAUGCUGCCAUUUGAUGCUAUUUUUCCUUUUUACCUCUCCACUCUGAUUCUUCUUUCUUCUGAGAAUAGUAUAUUCACUGAAUAAAUGUUCAAUAAAGGAUACCAUUACAGGUACAUACGAAGGAAAAUGCCAACCAAUGGCUCAAAAUAGCAGUAAAAGAACCAAAAUAAUGAGCUAGAAAAAGUGAGGAGCAUUUAAUUUUUUUCCAAACUACCAGGCUUUUCAAAGAAUGCCAAAAUGUGAGACUAAGUUUAUAACUAAUCUAGAAUGAUCUAUAUUUUCUAGUUGAAAUGGUGAGAUUGUCACACAGUGUAAUUUGGGUUGCGGAUGCAUUAGGAGCUUAUAGCAUUCAGUUAAUUAUGAGGAAUAUUACUACUGGGAGCCGAAUAUCCUAGAUCGUAUUCUCGAUCAAACUAUGCUUCGGGAAGCGAGCCAUGUAAUGAGAUGGCUCCUACUGGUGACCCUUGCAAUGCGCCGCUAAUAGAAUCAAGCGAUCAGCUGAUGAGGGAUCCACUCAACCGAGUUCGUACACCCUAUUGUAUUACUUGGUUCGGCUGAAAUUAGCCGAGCGACUUUGAUAUACUUUAACAACGGAAAGAUGUACAUGCGAUAAGUUUCGCUCAGGGAUUGUUAAAAUAUACUACCUAAAUACGAAAAUCUAUCUUAGCGAACUACUCCUAUAAAAGCAGAAAAUGCAAGGAAAGUAAAAAUUACAAAUAGACUACUCCUUUCUAAUGCUGGAAAUAGAAUGGUCUUCUUGUUUGCAAGGGAAAAAGACCCUUUAUCCAGGCGUAUUUUGUUUAUUUAUAGUCUCACUUAGUGUUAUUCAGUUAUUUUCCAUUAUGGGAUGUGUCUCGGCUAUGUUAUGCGGACCACUUCUGGCCGUUCUCAACCGCAUUUUUCCCAACCCACUUUUGGUUUUGAGUAUGUGCUCCCAAGUUCUUGGCGUACCAUGUGUUAUUUUGUAUUUGGCCCAGAAAGUCUUUCACGUGGUGCAAGCCGGUUUAUCACGUGGCGUCAUUUUUACGGCACCAACAAUGCCCCCCGGCAACCUUUCAAAAGAUCAUUUCGGAUGGCUGACAUCGUUCCGCUCAACAGCCUAGAUCAAAUGUCGCUUCGUUCUACGGCCGUGAUCAGUCCCCUCAUGUGGCAGCAUCGCCUAUUUCUUCUUGCGGUCUUUAUCUAGCCGUGUCUUUAGUCAUCUCGUACUUGAUUUUGUCCUUUGAUGGCUAUGAUUUCCUAUGCCCCUUUCGUCUUAUCGAGGGCAUUUAAUUAGGGCAUUAAUACUUGCCGUCAUAUCGCCAUUAUAGUCAUUUUUCGAAAUUUCCUCCGACGGCCUCAUCUUCUUCUCGCUCUCUAAACCCUUCUUUUCGGUUCUUACUCUUGCAUCUUUGUGAGAAGGGGUUUCUUUGAUCUUUCAAUUUCAAGCUUUCUUUGAUUCCGAUCCUUCUCAAUAGCUCGAAUUCCUCAUCUUCCUUCGCUUUCGGACCUUGACUACACCCUUUUGAGACGGUUCAUCGAAUCAGAUUCCUCUCGCUUUAUGCUCGGCCCUUCAUUUGUAGCACCUCCUCCAGCCGAUGCCUUUCCUUUCUCAGCAGAAGGGCUUCCUUUAAUGGUCGAUGUCAUCUAUCUUCACUCUUGGUCUCUCCUAAAGUCAUCAUUCGGGAAGAGUCUUUACACCCGGCCUAGCAUUUUUGACACAUAUUUGGCCUGGCUGAAGUGAGUUGAAGAUUCUUACGCCGAUCUCUGGCGUGAAGUUGGAAUCUACGAGGCUAACUCUCAAAGACCCCUCCUUAAGCCAAAGCCUCCUUUUUACUGCGAAUUUCGAGGCUCAUCUUGACCCGAAGGUGGACCUUGAGUAUACCAAGUUCAUGUGGCGAUUUGCAAGUCAAGCCCCCACUCUGGUCACUAAGAAGGAACACACUGCCUUCCUCCUCUCUUGGCUAUGUCACAACCUCUUCUGCACCCAUUCGUAGAAUAUUAAUCAAAAUUUUGUUCCUAUUGUUGAUGCGCUAGCUAAUGGUGAAAAACUAGUCCUCGGCUCAUAUUUCCUUUCGUUCCUCUACAAAGAGAUUUUUGAGUCAAUCAAGCCUCUGUCAUCAAAGAAUAGCUUGGUGAUUAGCUCCAGUAGCGGCGUUCUUUGGUUUCUACAGCUUUGUCUUCAAAUUUAUUUUCCAGCCUCGUGCCGAGCAUAUCUUGAUCAAGAUUCAGUUCCCCAAUUUGACACCUAUGAAUUAGCUCUCGGCUGCCCAAAGUCCCUGACAUCAAGCCAACCGGUUGAUUUUCUUACUUAUUUCUGUUAAGGACUUUUUUUAAGUUGGUGGAUUUCGUGAAGUCGAAUGGAGUCUUGAAGAGUUGAAGACAAAGAUUGUGGAAUUCCAGAUCAAAAAACUCGUUCGUGAUGCUCGGUAACUCAGGUAUGUGUGUUAAUAAUUUGUGGUGAAAAUCUACACAUGUAAUGGUGUUUGGAAGACUUAGGAUUGUUUUUAAAAUAUAAAAACUAAAGAAUCUGAGAAUUUCAAGGUUCGGGAUCCGGACCCUAGGUGCAGGGUCCGAACCUUGUAAGUCUCCUCUGUGUGUAUGCAGCGAGGGUCCGGACCCUAGAGCUAGGAUCUGAACCCCGUACCAUGGUAUUUUUGACACGCAACGAGGGUUUGGGCCCUCGGGUUAGGGUCCGGACCCCGUAGCUUGUAUUUUCUAUCACUUAGAGAGGGUUCGAACCCUGGCUUCAUGGCUCGGACCGUCAAGGUCCGGACCCUGAGACCGUAUUUUGUUUUUAAAAUCGUGUUUUUAAAAUUCUAAUCUAUCUAUAAGUCUUCUAAACCUAUAAAUAAGCUAUGAGGAGCAUCCGAUGAUGUAUGCUUAGAAAGAAAAUCUUUUGAAACCCUAAAAACUUGGUUUGGAGUUUUUCAAUCAAUGUCUUAAAAACAAGUUUUGUUUUUCCAAUCGCCGACUCGAUUCUUGGUUUCUAUUUCAAUGUUUCAUUAAGAAUCGAGUUGGAGAUGGAUUGAAAGGUUUCUCCUCGUAUCUUACGAUCUUUGUAAGAAAUUAAAUCACCACCAAUUAUUAUCUUCUGCGAGCUCCGGAUGGAGUGUUGGCGUGAGGACUUCGCGUGAGGCCGUGGAUUCGGUGGACGCAUCGUGGAUUCGAGGCGUUGUUGCUGCGAGGAUUUGCGGCGGGGUCGAUUGGAGGAGUUCGAUUGAUCGAUGACCGGUGAAGACGAUCUACGAUGAGGAUUCGGUAAUAGUUGGGUCGUGUAUUUGGUAAAUCACUUGUACUCAAUUUUUUCAUAGUGGAUUGUUUCGUGUGAUCGCUCCUGUGGGUUUUUUACUCUUAGUUGGAGUUUUUCCACUUUAAAUCUCGGUGUGUUGGAUUUAUUUUUCCGUAUUUAGUUUAAAUUUGCAUCGAGAAUUUUUGUUUUAUCGUUUACACCUAUUCACCCCCCUUUAGGUGUUAUUUACCUUUUAGGUCUUUGGGAUCCAUAUCUCACAAUUUUCAAGUUUUUUAUGCCAAGGAGCAAAUGCGGUCUAUCAGAUGGUCGACUUUCUGGGAACGGUUGACCAGUUCAAUUUGGUUCAUCGCUUAGUUUGAGUCCGUUCAGCUCCAACGAGCCUCCUUCAAUGCCAACAAGCAUUCUGAGGUCUAGUACUCCUUAGCUCUGCGGGAUUUUCAUGUCGGUUUGAAGAUCCGUUCCAAGUUGACACCAAGCACUGAAGUUUAUUGUCCUCACUAUGUGGUGCAUCAAUUCGGAUUUGUCCAAGCUAUUCCUGCUCCAUCCAUGUUCUUCACGGUCAACACUACUUGUAGCCAUUGUCUGCCGUCUCCCUCUCUUCCUCUCGGUCUCAGAGGAAGCCCGUGACCCUCUCCCGGCUGUCUCGACCAUUGUUGUGGCCGGAUAAGGAAGCUAAGCCCGAGCAGCAACUGUGCAGGCUCGGCUUGUUCCCGUACCGCCACUGCCACCUCCUGCCGCUGGCUAGCACGAGCGCCAUCCCUCCCCCGUUGGCCGUACCCCCUGCCGCCGGCGCACCCGACACCGAGCUGCCACCGGCCGGGCUAGACCCUGUUGCUCCCAGCCUGCCCGAUUAGGGCUAUUUUUUUUAUUGUUUUCACUGUUUCGGUGACUCGAGGCUGAUCUAACGCUUCUGGGGGUGAGCACGGUGACCUCUGGAUAGCGCUGAUCACCGUGCUCACCUAACUUGCUGGUUGAGAGGCCGGGAUCAGCAAUUUCAUCCUUGUCGCUCCCGGUGAGCACUCCCCGCAGAACUUUGGUUUGCUCCCGCACUCUCCGCAGCAAUUUUUUGGCACUCUGGACAGUGAGCAUGUCACGCCCCGGGGUCCCUUUUUGAUUUAAAAGCAAUGUGGAAGCACCCAAUUUAUUUAUUUAUUUUUUUUAAACCUGACCCCCAGGGUAUGCCAGAUCCGCCAUAAAUACAGGAAGUCCAUUGCUCACAUGGACAGAGUCUCCUUUGUAUUUGCACGGCGUCACACAAAUACAAUAUACAACCAUAACCGUAUGAGCAUACACAUACAUUUACCAUUCACCAAUAGGUUCAUGUUUAGAGUUUAUUCAGAAAUCCAUAACUAUUAGUUUAAAAUGUUUCCUACCCGAAAACUCAUUUUGAAAUACUAAUUUAUGAAAACCACGAGAAAACCAUUUCAAAACCGUUUCUCACACGGAAAUCCUUUUUCUUUAAAACACGCUACCACGAGGGAUAGAAAGUCGUUUUCAUCUCAAAGAAAAUCAUAAGUUCUUUAAUUCAUUUACCAAAAUCACAUUUAUCCACGUAAAUAAAAACUAACUGAACCAAUAUACCUAAGUCAUAACAUCAGAAAUAAAGAAGGUAGCAACUAAACCAAACAAAUAGGGUCGGCAGCUCUAUCGACCACUACAAACGUGUCUCACGUCUCGUCUCAACCCUCACCGCCUGCAAUACCUAAAAAUAGUGGGGGAGAUGAGAACAACUAAAC